Molecule: ribosomal RNA, 274 nt
Filed under: uncultured bacterium
Lineage: Bacteria
Description: partial 16S ribosomal RNA
Rfam family: Bacterial small subunit ribosomal RNA
Source: RNAcentral
AUACGGAGGGUCCGAGCGUUAUCCGGAAUCAUUGGGUUUAAAGGGUCCGUAGGCGGGAAUCUAAGUCAGUGGUGAAAUCUUGCAGCUCAACUGUAAAAUUGCCAUUGAUACAGGAUUUCUUGAAUUAGUGUGAAGUGGUUAGAAUGUGUAGUGUAGCGGUGAAAUGCAUAGAUAUUACACAGAAUACCAAUUGCGAAGGCAGAUCACUAACACUAUAUCGACGCUGAGGGACGAAAGCGUGGGGAGCGAACAGGAUUAGAAACCCCGGUAGUCC